RNA transcript from Heteronotia binoei (common prickly gecko), 1125 nucleotides. It is a transcript of the gene named MYST/Esa1 associated factor 6, with no coding region annotated. The transcript has 8 exons. The record is from RefSeq and is a predicted model, not a curated record. NCBI's taxonomy places the organism in Eukaryota, Metazoa, Chordata, Lepidosauria, Squamata, Gekkonidae.
GCUGGUGGCGCGGCUGCGGCUGCUGCCCCCGGCGGCGCGGCUGGGCAUCGCCACUCCCCGCGAGGCUCCGGUCGGGCCGGCCAUGGCGGCGCUUCACGGAGCGGCUGCCAAGGCCGGCGCCCCGCCGCAGAUCCCGGACACCCGCCGCGAACUGGCCGAGCUGGUCAAGCGCAAGCAGGAGCUGGCGGAGACGCUGGCCAACCUGGAGCGGCAGAUCUACGCCUUCGAGGGCAGCUACCUGGAAGACACGCAGAUGUACGGCAACAUCAUCCGCGGCUGGGACCGCUACCUCACCAACCAGAACAGUUGUUCUCUGCCUAGGAACUCCAACAGCAAGAACGAUAGAAGGAAUAGAAAGUUCAAAGAAGCUGAGCGUCUCUUCAGCAAGUCCUCAGUCACCUCGGCCGCUGCAGUCAGCGCCCUGGCAGGAGUUCAAGACCAGCUCAUUGAAAAACGAGAGCCCGGGAGCGGGACCGAGAGUGACACUUCCCCAGAUUUCCACAACCAGGAAAACGAGCCGAGUCAGGAGGAAGCGGAAGAGCUAGAUGGUUCCGUUCAAGGUGUCAAGCCUCAGAAAGCCGCUUCUUCCACCUCUUCGGGCAGCCACCAUAGUAGCCACAAAAAACGGAAGAACAAAAACCGACACAGGUAUGUAUAUUAGGUUAGGCUGGCACGUUUUUUAAAAACAAAAAAACAGACAAAAGCAUUAACGGAGGAUUGAUCUCAAGCUGAACAAAAAGCCCCGCGCUGACUACUAGGCUUCUCCACAGUGAAACUUCCAGGAUUGGUCCCUCUCCCCCACCGUAGUCCAGCCCAAGAGACUGAAUAAGCACAAUGCCAGCUCCCUCCUAGACCUGCGCACCUACUCUUGCUCGUAGCCCAGACCUGGUGGUGACAAUCCCUGGCUUCCUGGUGCGUCUCGCUUCCUCGCUGAUCGGAAAUAGAAGCCCUCUUCUCAUUGGCCACACUUUAGUGCUCCAUCACGUGUGUAAAAGAACCCUUGGGAGAUGCUCCUGUCGAUGUUUCUUCGUGCCACUGCCGCCUCUUGAUUGAUUUUUUUUUGUCUCAUAAAUGUUGGGUGGUCAUUGGUUGUCUUUUUAAAAUAAAUCUUGGUAUUUAAUUUUC